AUUGAACGCUGGCGGCAUGCUUUACGCAUGCAAGUCGAGCGGCAGCGCGGGGGCAACCCUGGCGGCGAGCGGCGAACGGGUGAGGAAUACAUCGGAACGUACCCCGGAGUGGGGGAUAACGCCGCGAAAGCGGCGCUAAUACCGCAUAUGCUCUGAGGAGGAAAGUGGGGGACCUGCAAGGGCCUCACGCUCUGGGAGCGGCCGAUGUCCGAUUAGCUAGUUGGUGGGGUAAAGGCCCACCAAGGCGACGAUCGGUAGCUGGUCUGAGAGGAUGAUCAGCCACACUGGGACUGAGACACGGCCCAGACUCCUACGGGAGGCAGCAGUGGGGAAUUUUGGACAAUGGGGGCAACCCUGAUCCAGCCAUGCCGCGUGAGUGAAGAAGGCCUC
Molecule: ribosomal RNA, 390 nt
Filed under: uncultured bacterium
Lineage: Bacteria
Description: bacterial SSU rRNA
Rfam family: Bacterial small subunit ribosomal RNA
Source: RNAcentral